CAAGUACUCCCUCCGUCCGGAAUUACUUGUCAUCAAAAUCGAUGUGUUUAGAACUAAAAUACAUCUAGAUACAUCCAUUUCAAUGACAAGUAUUUUUGGACGGAGGGAGUAUAAG
Molecule: non-coding RNA, 115 nt
Organism: Triticum aestivum (bread wheat)
Lineage: Eukaryota; Viridiplantae; Streptophyta; Magnoliopsida; Poales; Poaceae
Source: Rfam